This 392-nucleotide ribosomal RNA is filed under the name uncultured Sphingobacteriales bacterium. RNAcentral's name for it is "bacterial SSU rRNA". It matches the Rfam family "Bacterial small subunit ribosomal RNA", at positions 987 to 1382 of the family's 1533-position model. Lineage: Bacteria; Pseudomonadati; Bacteroidota; Sphingobacteriia; Sphingobacteriales. The record is from RNAcentral.
GUAUGUUGACGUAUUCUGAAAGGGAUACUUCUUCGGACAAUAUACAAGGUGCUGCAUGGUUGUCGUCAGCUCGUGCCGUGAGGUGUCGGGUUAAGUCCCAUAACGAGCGCAACCCCUAUCAUUAGUUGCCAUCAGGUCAAGCUGGGGACUCUAAUGAAACUGCCUACGCAAGUAGUGAGGAAGCGGGGAUGACGUCAAAUCAGCACGGCCCUUACGUCCAGGGCUACACACGUGCUACAAUGGCCGAUACAGAGGGCAGCUACCUGGUGACAGGAUGCAAAUCUCCAAAGUCGGUCUCAGUUCGGAUCGGAGUCUGCAACCCGACUCCGUGAAGUUGGAUUCGCUAGUAAUCGCGCAUCAGCCAUGGCGCGGUGAAUACGUUCCCGGGCCUU